UGCCAGCAGCCGCGGUAAGACGGAGGGUGCAAGCGUUACUCGGAAUUACUGGGCGUAAAGGGUCUGUAGGCGGCUUGGAAAGUUGGAUGUGAAAUCCCACAGCUUAACUGUGGAACUGCGUCCAAAACUAUCAAGCUUGAGGAUGGUAGGGGACAGUGGAACUCAAGGUGGAGCGGUGAAAUGCGUAGAGAUCUUGAGGAACACCGGUGGCGAAAGCGACUGUCUGGGCCAUUCCUGACGCUGAGGGACGAAAGCUAGGGGAGCGAACGGGAUUAGAUA
This 279-nucleotide ribosomal RNA is filed under the name uncultured bacterium. RNAcentral describes it as "partial 16S ribosomal RNA". It matches the Rfam family "Bacterial small subunit ribosomal RNA", at positions 506 to 784 of the family's 1533-position model. The record is from RNAcentral.